Molecule: ribosomal RNA, 253 nt
Filed under: uncultured bacterium
Lineage: Bacteria
Description: partial 16S ribosomal RNA
Rfam family: Bacterial small subunit ribosomal RNA
Source: RNAcentral
UACGGAGGAUGCAAGCGUUAUCCGGACUGAUUGGGCGUAAAGGGUCCGCAGGUGGCAAUGUAAGUCUGCUGUCAAAGAAUGAGGCUUAACCUCAUCAAGGCAGUGGAAACUACAUAGCUAGAGUACGGUCGGGGUAGAAGGAAUUCCUGGUGUAGCGGUGAAAUGCGUAGAGAUCAGGAAGAACACCGGUGGCGAAAGCGUUCUGCUAGACCGGUACUGACACUGAGGGACGAAAGCUAGGGGAGCGAAUGGG